Molecule: ribosomal RNA, 433 nt
Filed under: uncultured bacterium
Lineage: Bacteria
Description: partial 16S ribosomal RNA
Rfam family: Bacterial small subunit ribosomal RNA
Source: RNAcentral
AACGAACGCUGGCGGCAGGCCUAACACAUGCAAGUCGAGCGAGGACUUCGGUUCUAGCGGCGGACGGGUGAGUAACGCGUGGGAAUGUGCCCUUCUCUACGGAAUAGCCCUGGGAAACUGGGAGUAAUACCGUAUACGCCCUAUUGGGGAAAGAUUUAUCGGAGAAGGAUCAGCCCGCGUUGGAUUAGGUAGUUGGUGGGGUAAUGGCCUACCAAGCCGACGAUCCAUAGCUGGUUUGAGAGGAUGAUCAGCCACACUGGGACUGAGACACGGCCCAGACUCCUACGGGAGGCAGCAGUGGGGAAUCUUAGACAAUGGGGGCAACCCUGAUCUAGCCAUGCCGCGUGAGUGAUGAAGGCCUUAGGGUUGUAAAGCUCUUUCAGCUGGGAAGAUAAUGAUGGUACCAGCAGAAGAAGCCCCGGCUAACUCCGUG